CGACCGGCGCACGGGUGAGUAACACGUAUCCAACCUGCCGACAACACUGGGAUAGCCUUUCGAAAGAAAGAUUAAUACCGGAUGGCAUAGUCUUCCCGCAUGGGAUGACUAUUAAAGAAUUUCGGUUGUCGAUGGGGAUGCGUUCCAUUAGGCAGUUGGCGGGGUAACGGCCCACCAAACCUACGAUGGAUAGGGGUUCUGAGAGGAAGGUCCCCCACAUUGGAACUGAGACACGGUCCAAACUCCUACGGGAGGCAGCAGUGAGGAAUAUUGGUCAAUGGACGAGAGUCUGAACCAGCCAAGUAGCGUGAAGGAUGACUGCCCUAUGGGUUGUAAACUUCUUUUAUAAAGGAAUAAAGUCGGGUAUGGAUACCCGUUUGCAUGUACUUUAUGAAUAAGGAUCGGCUAACUCCGUGCCAGCAGCCGCGGUAAUACGGAGGAUCCGAGCGUUAUCCGGAUUUAUUGGGUUUAAAGGGAGCGUAGAUGGAUGUUUAAGUCAGUUGUGAAAGUUUGCGGCUCAACCGUAAAAUUGCAGUUGAUACUGGAUAUCUUGAGUGCAGUUGAGGCAGGCGGAAUUCGUGGUGUAGCGGUGAAAUGCUUAGAUAUCACGAAGAACUCCGAUUGCGAAGGCA
RNAcentral lists this ribosomal RNA (632 nucleotides) under uncultured Bacteroidales bacterium. RNAcentral's name for it is "bacterial SSU rRNA". It matches the Rfam family "Bacterial small subunit ribosomal RNA", at positions 92 to 723 of the family's 1533-position model. The record is from RNAcentral. Lineage: Bacteria; Pseudomonadati; Bacteroidota; Bacteroidia; Bacteroidales.